RNAcentral lists this unclassified non-coding RNA (256 nucleotides) under Hevea brasiliensis (rubber tree). The record is from RNAcentral. Lineage: Eukaryota; Viridiplantae; Streptophyta; Magnoliopsida; Malpighiales; Euphorbiaceae.
GGUUUUCUUGAACACCUUGAAGAAAGGCCGGUUGAGGCUGUGACUGCUGCAGCAUCUGGGGUGGUAUCAAAGCAGCAGUUCUUGGGAGAUUAGGAUGUUGCUGGAAUUGCAAAAGGGAUGCAGUUGAUGACUUGGAAGGAUCAAAUAGCCCUCAUCUCCUGAAGUGCAGCAGCAGCCAUAGCUUGAUACAUAUCAGUUUGCAAACUAAGCAUGGAAGCAUCAACUCGUGGCUGCAUCCAUGGUGUUACUCCUAGUC